UACGGAGGGGGCUAGCGUUGUUCGGAAUUACUGGGCGUAAAGCGCACGUAGGCGGAUAUUUAAGUCAGGGGGGAAAUCCCGGGGCUCAACCCCGGAACUGCCUUUGAUACUGGGUAUCUGGAGGUCGAGAGAGGCGAGUGGAAUUCCGAGUGUAGAGGUGAAAUUCGUAGAUAUUCGGAGGAACACCAGUGGCGAAGGCGGCUCGCUGGCUCGAUACUGACGCUGAGGUGCGAAAGCGUGGGGAGCAAACAGG
This 253-nucleotide ribosomal RNA is filed under the name uncultured bacterium. RNAcentral describes it as "partial 16S ribosomal RNA". It matches the Rfam family "Bacterial small subunit ribosomal RNA", at positions 524 to 776 of the family's 1533-position model. The record is from RNAcentral.